This is a ribosomal RNA of Megasphaera cerevisiae DSM 20462, 190 nucleotides long. It matches the Rfam family "Bacterial large subunit ribosomal RNA", at positions 2736 to 2925 of the family's 2925-position model. The record is from Rfam. Lineage: Bacteria; Bacillati; Bacillota; Negativicutes; Veillonellales; Veillonellaceae.
UGCAGCUGGGUAGCUACGUUCGGGACGGAUAAACGCUGAAAGCAUCUAAGCGUGAAACCAGCCUAGAGAUGAGGUUUCUCAUUACGAAAGUAAGUAAGGUCCCAUGAAGACGACAUGGUAGAUAGGCCGGGAGUGGACGUACAGUAAUGUAUGGAGCGGACCGGUACUAAUAGACCGAGGACUUGACUUA